CGGUUAAGUCCGCUAACGAGCGCAACCCUCGUCGUAUGUUAUAUGUGUCAUACGAGACUGCCGGUAAAAAGACCGGAGGAAGGUGAGGAUGAUGUCAAGUCAGCAUGACCUUUAUAUCCAGGGCUACACACACGCUACAAUGGUCUGUACAAUGGGUAGCCAAGCCGCGAGGCGGAGCCAAUCCUGAAAGCAGGCCUCAGUUCAGAUUGCAGUCUGCAACUCGACUGCAUGAAGCCGGAGUUGCUAGUAACCGCAGGUCAGCAAUACUGCGGUGAAUACGUUCCCGGGUCUU
This 292-nucleotide ribosomal RNA is filed under the name uncultured Anaerolineaceae bacterium. RNAcentral describes it as "partial 16S ribosomal RNA". It matches the Rfam family "Bacterial small subunit ribosomal RNA", at positions 1077 to 1382 of the family's 1533-position model. The record is from RNAcentral. Lineage: Bacteria; Bacillati; Chloroflexota; Anaerolineae; Anaerolineales; Anaerolineaceae.